RNAcentral lists this ribosomal RNA (494 nucleotides) under uncultured soil bacterium. RNAcentral describes it as "bacterial SSU rRNA". It matches the Rfam family "Bacterial small subunit ribosomal RNA", at positions 26 to 521 of the family's 1533-position model. The record is from RNAcentral.
AGAUUGAACGCUGGCGGCAUGCCUAACACAUGCAAGUCGAACGGUAACGCGGGGGCAACCCUGGCGACGAGUGGCGGACGGGUGAGUAAUACGUAGGAAUCUGCCCAUUUGUGGGGGAUAACCCGGCGAAAGCCGGGCUAAUACCGCAUACGCUCUACGGAGGAAAGCGGGGGAUCGCAAGACCUCGCGCUAAUGGAUGAGCCUACGUCGGAUUAGCUAGUUGGUAGGGUAACGCCUACCAAGGCGACGAUCCGUAGCUGGUCUGAGAGGACGAUCAGCCACACUGGGACUGAGACACGGCCCAGACUCCUACGGGAGGCAGCAGUGGGGAAUAGUUGGACAAGUGGGGGCAACCCUGAUCCAGCAAUGCCGCGUGUGUGAAGAAGGCCUGGCGGUUGAAGCUACUUCAGUAGGGAAGAAAAAUCGGAGCUAACACCUCGAGCUUGACGUUACCCAUAGAAGAAGCAACCGCUAACUCCGUGCCAGCACGCGAC